RNAcentral lists this non-coding RNA (251 nucleotides) under Dorea formicigenerans. RNAcentral's name for it is "T-box sequence". It matches the Rfam family "T-box leader". From Rfam's summary of the family: Uncharged tRNA acts as the effector for transcription antitermination of genes in the T-box leader family. T-boxes are found upstream of many aminoacyl-tRNA synthetase genes and some amino acid biosynthetic genes usually in Gram-positive bacteria. The anticodon of a specific tRNA base pairs to a specifier sequence within the T-box motif, and the NCCA acceptor tail of the tRNA base pairs to a conserved bulge in the T-box antiterminator hairpin. Lineage: Bacteria; Bacillati; Bacillota; Clostridia; Lachnospirales; Lachnospiraceae. The record is from RNAcentral.
GCAAAGACCUAGAACGGAAAGAGUAACAGAAUAAGAAUCUGACAGAGAGAGAACGUCACCGGCUGAAAGCGUUCUUAAGAGGAAUAUCUGUGAAGUGCCUCCGGGAGUUGACUGGGCGAAGGAUUUAUCGGAAUCUGGUAGUGCAGUACGUGGAUACGCGUUAAGUAUGAAAAGUGGAGAUUGGUGUCUGCAUAAGAUCAUAAGACAGAAUCUCUAAAAGAGUGGAACCGCGGAUAUACUUCGUCUCUUAU